RNAcentral lists this ribosomal RNA (926 nucleotides) under uncultured marine group I thaumarchaeote. Its description in RNAcentral is "bacterial SSU rRNA". It matches the Rfam family "Archaeal small subunit ribosomal RNA", at positions 473 to 1399 of the family's 1478-position model. Lineage: Archaea; Thermoproteati; Nitrososphaerota. The record is from RNAcentral.
AAACCAGCACCUCAAGUGGUCAGGAGGAUUAUUGGGCCUAAAGCAUCCGUAGCCUGCUUUGUUAGUUUUCGGUUAAAUCUAUGUGCUCAACGCAUAGGCUGCCGAAAAUACUGCAGAGCUAGGGAGUGGGAGAGGUAGACGGUACUCGAUAGGAAGGGGUAAAAUCCUNUGAUCUACUGAUGACCACCUGUGGCGAAGGCGGUCUACCAGAACACGUUCGACGGUGAGGGAUGAAAGCUGGGGGAGCAAACCGGAUUAGAUACCCGGGUAGUCCCAGCUGUAAACGAUGCAGACUCGGUAAUGCAUUGGCAUAUAGCCAGUGCAGUGUCGCAGGGAAGCCGUUAAGUCUGCCGCCUGGGAAGUACGUACGCAAGUAUGAAACUUAAAGGAAUUGGCGGGGGAGCACCACAAGGGGUGAAGCCUGCGGUUCAAUUGGAGUCAACGCCAGAAAUCUUACCCGGAGAGACAGCAGAAUGAAGGUCAAGCUGAAGACUUUACCAGACAAGCUGAGAGGUGGUGCAUGGCCGUCGCCAGCUCGUGCUGUGAGAUGUCCUGUUAAGUCAGGUAACGAGCGAGAUCCCUGCCACUAGUUGCUAUCAUUAUUCUCAGGAAUAGUGGGGCGAAUUAGUGGGACUGCCGUUGUUAAAACGGAGGAAGGAAGGGGCUACGGCAGGUCAGUAUGCCCCGAAACUCUGGGGCCACACGCGGGCUGCAAUGGUAGUGACAAUGAGUUCCAAACUCGAAAGAGAGUGGCAAUCUCUAAACACUACCACAGUUAUGACUGAGGGCUGCAACUCGCCCUCACGAAUAUGGAAUCCCUAGUAACCGCGUGUCAUUACCGCGCGGUGAAUACGUCCCUGCUCCUUGCACACACCGCCCGUCGUUUCAUCGAAGUUUGCUUUUAGCGAGGUGAUGUUUAAUUGGCA